AGUACUGAAUUGCCAACAAUAUACCCAAAGCUAUCAUUCCUCCCCUCAGAAUUUACCGUGAGAAUCCAGCGGGGCCAGGCUGGCAUCGGGGAAGAAAAUUCCCCAGGCAAGUGGGUGAGAGAGCUGUAAAUAUUUAGUGAAUGAAUCAUACGUUGCUGUAGCAAGUCAAUUCCAGAAAGGAAGAGACAGAGAGAAGCAGAGACACAGGAAAAUCUGAAACCCUCCGUCAGUAAGUAGAACCUGUCAGCAACCAAACCCAGAGCUGUGAAGUCCAUUACGCUUCCCACACAUAAAUUUUCAAUAACUCAUGACGGCAUUACGUAGCCCUCUUACCCUCUGAUUCUCCCCGCCUCCUCGGGAGACCAGCCACAGAGCUAGGUCACAGGGGGGUUAGGAAAGUCAAGGGCUGGAAUGCGGGAGCUAUGAGAUUUCAGCCAGGACUCAAAAGGGGAAUCUAUCGCACAGGGGAAUAUCGGGGACAUCACAAUGGAGAAAAGGUUUGGAAUCAUCAACUCCAGGUAAGCCUUGGCGAAUAUUCCUAAAACAACUUUUCCAGCUACAUUUGGUCUAAAGCA
RNAcentral lists this long non-coding RNA (575 nucleotides) under Mustela putorius furo (domestic ferret). RNAcentral describes it as "lncRNA (ENSMPUG00000028362.1)". The record is from RNAcentral. Lineage: Eukaryota; Metazoa; Chordata; Mammalia; Carnivora; Mustelidae.